Molecule: ribosomal RNA, 1195 nt
Filed under: Alcanivorax sp. AU3SG2
Lineage: Bacteria; Pseudomonadati; Pseudomonadota; Gammaproteobacteria; Oceanospirillales; Alcanivoracaceae
Description: bacterial SSU rRNA
Rfam family: Bacterial small subunit ribosomal RNA
Source: RNAcentral
CCAAGGCGACGAUCCGUAGCUGGUCUGAGAGGAUGAUCAGCCACACCGGGACUGAGACACGGCCCGGACUCCUACGGGAGGCAGCAGUGGGGAAUCUUGGACAAUGGGGGCAACCCUGAUCCAGCCAUGCCGCGUGUGUGAAGAAGGCCUUCGGGUUGUAAAGCACUUUCAGCAGGGAGGAAGCCUUACCCUUAAUACGGAUGAGUACUUGACGUACCUUGCAGAAGAAGCCCCGGCUAAUUUCGUGCCAGCAGCCGCGGUAAUACGAAGGGUGCAAGCGUUAUUCGGAAUUACUGAGCGUAAAGCGCGCGUAGGCGGUGUGUUAAGUCGGAUGUGAAAGCCCAGGGCUCAACCUUGGAAUUGCAUCCGAUACUGGCACGCUAGAGUGCAGUAGAGGGAGGUGGAAUUUCCGGUGUAGCGGUGAAAUGCGUAGAGAUCUGAAGGAACACCAGUGGCGAAGGCGGCCUCCUGGACUGACACUGACGCUGAGGUGCGAAAGCGUGGGGAGCAAACAGGAUUAGAUACCCUGGUAGUCCACGCUGUAAACGAUGUCUACUAGCCGUCGGGGUCCUUAGUGACUUUGGUGGCGCAGCUAACGCGAUAAGUAGACCGCCUGGGGAGUACGGCCGCAAGGUUAAAACUCAAAUGAAUUGACGGGGGCCCGCACAAGCGGUGGAGCAUGUGGUUUAAUUCGAUGCAACGCGAAGAACCUUACCAGGUCUUGACAUCCUCGGAACUUGGCAGAGAUGCCUUGGUGCCUUCGGGAGCCGAGUGACAGGUGCUGCAUGGCCGUCGUCAGCUCGUGUCGUGAGAUGUUGGGUUAAGUCCCGUAACGAGCGCAACCCUUGUCCUUAGUUGCCAGCACGUCAUGGUGGGAACUCUAGGGAGACUGCCGGUGACAAACCGGAGGAAGGUGGGGGCGACGUCAGGUCAUCAUGGCCCUUACGACCUGGGCUACACACGUGCUACAAUGGCUGGUACAGAGGGUUGCGAAGUCGCGAGGCGAAGCUAAUCCCUUAAAGCCAGUCGUAGUCCGGAUCGGAGUCUGCAACUCGACUCCGUGAAGUCGGAAUCGCUAGUAAUCGCGGAUCAGAAUGCCGCGGUGAAUAUGUUCUCGGGCCUUUCCACGCCGCCCGUCACACCAUGGGAGUGGAUUGCACCAGAAGUGGCUAGUCUAACUACGGAGGACGGUCAC